Molecule: long non-coding RNA, 1540 nt
Organism: Nycticebus coucang (slow loris)
Lineage: Eukaryota; Metazoa; Chordata; Mammalia; Primates; Lorisidae
Exons: 5
Source: RefSeq, a predicted model, not a curated record
UUGAGAACUGCUGGUUUGUAACUUUUUGUUGUUACAAAUAAUGGCCCAGUAAGUACCUUUAUAUGUGUUUCUUUGUGUACGAGAGAGUUUCUCUAAGAUUUAUACCCUCAAAAUGACGGAUAAUUGCUUUUCAAAUUGAAGCUUUGUAAAUGGCAGCUCCAAAGGGGUAUGCUGCCCAGGAAAAAAAGACUGUGGCUCAUUCUUACCCAAAGCGAUUUUCUUGUCAGAGAGAACUAGAAAAAGUCAGAAGAUUUCUCUGGGCCUGUGAACUGUGAGCAAAGCGUUAGGAAGUUUUCCUGUGGGCUGGGAGUGACAUACAAGCAGGGCACAGAGGUGCAAAUUUGAACAGGUAAGAACUGAGAGCCAGGUUUCCCUUCCCUGCGGCUUGAUGCCACGUGACUGUGGGGAUGGGGGGUUGCAGUGAAAUGCAAUGGUUGCUGGCCUGCACCUAUUACUGCUUUUUCCAUUCUGAGGGAACCUGAAUUUCAGUCAGGUGUCACCUCCUCUCCUGUCCCUGCAAAGCCCAUGUGCUUCAGUUCUAGGCCUAAAGGGAGUAAAGAUAAUCCUCUGUGGACCCAGCUGCUCUAGAAAUGGACAGUGAACUCCUUCUGGGCCAGUAGGAGACUGGAAGAGAGAUGUCCUGGGGAGCUCUAAGAAAGUGGUUUCUACUUCUCCAGAACUUCUAAAGAGUUGGUUUUUUCUCUUUUGAACUUGGCAAUUGCCGCAGAGUGUGGAUAAAACUGGCAUGUGGAGUGAGGCAGAACCCAAGGAAUAAGGCAGAACCCAAAGAAUUGGCGUGAAAAUGAGCUGGAGGCCUUGCCUCGCUCUGCUUCUGGUGGGCCUUGUCAAAAACGUCAUUUGAAAAUCAGCUCUUGGAGAUAUUUCUUUUGAAGCUGAUCCAAACUUGGAAAGGAGUAUGACAAUUCACCAGGACAAAGAAAAGACGCUGAGUACUCACCGUAAGUUAUAGCUUGUUAAGCGUGAAAACCAGAAGCUCACAGGCUAAUCGACCUGCCUAAGGUGAGACAGCUCUUACGCGGGAACCUAGGACCCACACCCACAUCGGCUUGAUGCCGAAGCCCCAGUUCUCAGUCACUGCAACAAACCCUGGGUGGACAACAGAGACUGGACCUCACUUUGAUUUAGGAAACAACUAAACUAGUUCGUCUCAAGCACAGUGUGAAAAGGCUCCCUGAAAGUCUAUGCAUAAUGAAGAGAAAUUCGAUCAUGACGAAGGAAGCUCUGCCUGUUUCUCUGUCCUCAUCCUUUUUUGCAGGGCGCCCCCUACCGGAAGCCUUUGGCCUGCCAAGGAAACCAGUUUACCACGGUUCUCGGAGACAAGCCUCCAGUGCUGUCCCCAACAACAUCAAGCUACAGAGGGCAGAGAGAAGGGAGAGGAAGACGUCACGGUCAACAUCCUAAUGGAGAAAUUCCAACAGCUGGUAUUGGCAAACUGAGGGGACCUCUCAAUCUAAACAUAUAUAUUCUAAUCGAAUUUUCUAUAUAUUUUACCUGUUGCCUUGUCUGGACUGAAUUUUUU